AUGACAAGGCAAGAUGGCAUCAAUAGUCCCGGUGGCGAGAUCUACCUAGGAGAUGCUGACUAUGGAUCUCGCACUGGUGUUCUUCAACCCUUCAGGAAAACCAGGUACCAUCUAAACGCGUUCUUUUCUAGGAAUGCACAAGAAUUGUUCAAUUUCAGACACUCCAACCUUAGAAUCAUGGUUGAGAGGACAUUUGGAGCUCUCGAGAAUUGAUUUAGGAUCCUAGAUUAGAAGUCAUUCCACCCUUACCUCACUCAAGUUAAGCUUGUUCUUGCUUGGUGCAUUUUGCAUAACUGGAUCCUACAAUGGGGUUUUGAUGAGCUGGUGCCGGAGGAGGAAGAUGUGACAGCCAAUGAUGAUCACUCCGGUCAUGGUGUGGAGGCACGUGACAAUGAAGUUUGGAAGAGCAAAAUGUUGGAAUGGGCUGAGACAAUAUGGGCAAAUAGAGGAACUACAAAGAUCUAA
Molecule: ribosomal RNA, 465 nt
Filed under: Triticum aestivum (bread wheat)
Lineage: Eukaryota; Viridiplantae; Streptophyta; Magnoliopsida; Poales; Poaceae
Description: partial small subunit ribosomal RNA
Source: RNAcentral